AGAGGCAGGAUUGGGUUCCUCCAGGCAGAUACGUCAGAAGGACAAUGUGCAGAGUGUAUUGGUGAGAGAUGGACUGAGGUAUUGACCAUGUGACCUGACUGGAUAAAGAAUUAAGUCAAGACAGCAAAAGGCUGAUAAUAUUCAGAGAAAACGAGUCCAGUUUUAACAGAGUCUAGGUUCCUGAGGGACGAACGGUGUCGGCGAAGAGAUUGAGACUGCAUAGCAAGUUGGUGGAAGGGGCGAGGCUUGGGUUAUGUUGGAGGACGGAACAAGUCUUGGGGCAAAGGCGAGUCAAGGUAUGUUGAGACCAGUAGGAUCUUCUGACAAUGGAGGCAGGAGAGUUUUAUGAUUCAAUAAACCGGCUGCUGUCCAAGGGACAUGAAUUCUCUGCAGCAGGGAUCCAGGAGACAUCUGCAAUGGACACUGCAUAGGAACCUGUGCAGCUGGCAGAGCCUGAUUACAGAGCCCUGGAAAGUAGGAGGAGUUGUAAGGGACAGCAAAGCAAAUCUUUCUGCUUUUCCUGGCUGCCUCUACUAAAUUCACUUCCUGGCUUUCAGCAUUUACACAAGUGACCUGUAUAACUCUCGCUGGGUCAGGCCUCAGUGCCCCCCUCUUACCAGAUAUUGUUCAGGAAAAAGACACCAACCGUCUCAGAGAAG
Molecule: long non-coding RNA, 659 nt
Filed under: Equus asinus (donkey)
Lineage: Eukaryota; Metazoa; Chordata; Mammalia; Perissodactyla; Equidae
Description: lncRNA (ENSEASG00005034572.1)
Source: RNAcentral